This 253-nucleotide ribosomal RNA is filed under the name uncultured bacterium. Its description in RNAcentral is "partial 16S ribosomal RNA". It matches the Rfam family "Bacterial small subunit ribosomal RNA", at positions 524 to 776 of the family's 1533-position model. The record is from RNAcentral.
UACGGGGGGAGCAAGCGUUGUUCGGAUUUACUGGGCGUAAAGCGCACGUAGGCGGAUUUGUAAGUCAGGGGUGAAAUCCCGGGGCUCAACCUCGGAACUGCCUUUGAUACUGCAAAUCUCGAGUCCGGAAGAGGUGAGUGGAAUUCCUAGUGUAGAGGUGAAAUUCGUAGAUAUUAGGAAGAACACCAGUGGCGAAGGCGGCUCACUGGUCCGGUACUGACGCUGAGGUGCGAAAGCGUGGGGAGCAAACAGG